RNAcentral lists this long non-coding RNA (349 nucleotides) under Dermacentor andersoni. RNAcentral describes it as "uncharacterized LOC126527200". The record is from RNAcentral. Lineage: Eukaryota; Metazoa; Arthropoda; Arachnida; Ixodida; Ixodidae.
AGAUUUUAACGCAAGCUCGCGGUUUUUCACGAGAGAAGAACUACAGUAUCCAGCGUUGCGAUGUCCGCAGCCAAUUCUGUAUUCAUCUUAAUCUUUGCAAUAACAAUCAUGACUAUAAAUAUCUCCUCAAGUACGGACAGCCGGAUCAGCAGUACUUUUACGUGUCUAAAUCCCGGAACACUUUGCAAUCCAGGUGACACCAGUGCCUGCAACGGGACCUGCACUUGCGAAGAACUCGGCAAUAGCAAUGGCCCACCUUCGUACCAGUGCACGGAACCACCUACGGCGGUAUCACGUCCCGCCGUUUAAUGGAAAUAAUGAGGCAAUAAAAAUUGUUGUCGCUCUUCAU